UUUUUUUAUUUUUAUUUUUUUGUUUACCAUUCAAAAAGGGCAGUUUAAUUGUAAUUUUAAGAAUAGAUGUUUAAACAGUGCUGAAAACACUGAAAUUGAUUUAGCGGAUAAAAAUCCCACUGAAAAUCUGUUAGGAAAACCAAUUCAGUUGCGCUUCGAUGCUUUUCGAAAACGAAAAUUAAAAAUUGUGAAAGUUCCAAUGUCACAAUCUACUAGAAAGUCAUAGGUAAAGUUUCUCUUGCACUUCUCCUUUACGUUAGGUACAGGACCUCAAUAUGAAGGCAUGUGGAGUCAUACGGUUCCCACCCAUGGCUUUCUUUGCGAGACAAAAUCAGAAGAGAGAAAUCAGUGAAUUUUAAGAAUAGCAACUUAAACGUGGAUUGGUUGGAAGCUACACUGGAAAACCACCAGAAAAGAAAAUUCAAGCAAAUAAAGCAACCACCUUAGAGGAAGACAAAAUAACAACUGAUGCUGCCAGAAUCGCAGUCCUAUUUGCUGUGGAAAAAGCUUAAAGAAACGUAAAGGGCUAAAACCAAUUAAAAACCAGUGUAAAGAAAAAAGACUCGGUGAGGCACCUUUAAAAGCUAGAAAAGACCAAAUAAAAAAAAGGGGCCUCAAAAAGAAACUGAUGCAGCCCUAGAAACAGCCGAAGCUGCAGAAACAAACUCUGUGGAAUUAUUUGACGAUGGAGAGAUUGAACCAAUAUGCCAGUUGUUGGCGUAAAGAAAAUGACAUAGAAAAUCACCUGCAAGAGUUAUGAAAAAUACAAACGUUUAUCUCAAAAACUAAAAAAGGCCAAGAAAAAAGAUUAUUAUAAAACAAUUCAUAGAAACGUUAGCUCAAACACAAUCUCCUAGUAAACGGAACUGAUGCUCCAUUGCAAAUAGUCCAACCUGCCGAAACAAACUUGCAGCAGAGACAGAGUCUGGUUCCAUUUCAGCAUGCAUCAUCUUCAUACAUUUUUUCAUUAAAUAGGGACCGCCCGCGUUUCAAAUUAUUGAAACAGCAACUAUGAAAUCUACUUGCAGUGUACCGGAUAUCCAACAACGAUUAGUGACCUUUAAAUAAAUGCACUACAGCAUUUUUCUAGUAUUGUUUUCAACCUGUUUGAAAUUUGAACCAACAACACUCGUUUUGAAAUUAAAAGAAACAAUAGACAAAUAAAGCAUGAUACAUAAUCUA
This is a long non-coding RNA of Daphnia carinata, 1182 nucleotides long. RefSeq lists it as uncharacterized. Lineage: Eukaryota; Metazoa; Arthropoda; Branchiopoda; Diplostraca; Daphniidae. The record is from RefSeq and is a predicted model, not a curated record. The transcript has 8 exons.